GCAAGUCGAGCGGUAACAUUUCUAAAGCUUGCUUUUGAAGAUGACGAGCGGCGGACGGGUGAGUAAUGCCUAGGAAAUUGCCCUAAUGUGGGGGAUAACCAUUGGAAACGAUGGCUAAUACCGCAUGAUGCCUACGGGCCAAAGCGGGGGAUCUUCGGGCCUCUCGCGACAGGAUAUGCCGAGGUGGGAUUAGCUAGUUGGUGAGGUAAUGGCUCACCAAGGCGACGAUCCCUAGCUGGUCUGAGAGGAUGAUC
This 254-nucleotide ribosomal RNA is filed under the name uncultured bacterium. RNAcentral describes it as "partial 16S ribosomal RNA". It matches the Rfam family "Bacterial small subunit ribosomal RNA", at positions 57 to 305 of the family's 1533-position model. The record is from RNAcentral.